UGCCAGACUCCUACGGGAGGCAGCAGUGGGGGAUAUUGCACAAUGGGGGAAACCCUGAUGCAGCGACGCCGCGUGGGUGAAGAAGCGCCUCGGCGCGUAAAGCCCUGUCAGCAGGGAAGAAAAUGACGGUACCUGAAGAAGAAGCCCCGGCUAACUACGUGCCAGCAGCCGCGGUAAUACGUAGGGGGCAAGCGUUAUCCGGAUUUACUGGGUGUAAAGGGGGCGCAGGCGGGGAUGCAAGUUGGGUGUCAAAACUACCGGCUCAACUGGUAGUCGCACUCAAAACUGCAGCUCUUGAGUGAAGUAGAGGCAGGCGGAAUUCCUAGUGUAGCGGUGAAAUGCGUAGAUAUUAGGAGGAACACCAGUGGCGAAGGCGGCCUGCUGGGCCUUUACUGACGCUGAGGCUCGAAAGUGUGGGGAGCAAACAGGAUUAGAUACCCUGGUAC
Molecule: ribosomal RNA, 446 nt
Filed under: uncultured bacterium
Lineage: Bacteria
Description: partial 16S ribosomal RNA
Rfam family: Bacterial small subunit ribosomal RNA
Source: RNAcentral